RNAcentral lists this ribosomal RNA (453 nucleotides) under uncultured bacterium. RNAcentral describes it as "bacterial SSU rRNA". It matches the Rfam family "Bacterial small subunit ribosomal RNA", at positions 44 to 518 of the family's 1533-position model. The record is from RNAcentral.
GUGAUAACACAUGAAAGUGGAGUGAUGAGUGCUGGAUAAAUUGCUAGCGGCGGACGGGUGCGUAACACGUGGGUAACCUGCCCCUAUCACUGGGAUAACACGACUGAAAAGUGUGCUAAUACCAGAUAACAUAAGCUUUUGGCAUCAUUAGCUUAUCAAAGAAUUUCGGAUAGGGAUGGGCCCGCGUCUGAUUAGCUUGUUGGUGAGGUAACGGCUCACCAAGGGCAACGAUCAGUAGCCGACCUGAGAGGGUGAUCGGCCACACUGGAACUGAGACACGGUCCAGACUCCUACGGGAGGCAGCAGUGGGGAAUAUUGCACAAUGGGCGAAAGCCUGAUGCCAGCAACGCCGCGUGAGCGAUGAAGGCCUUCGGGUCGUAAAGCUCUGUCCUAUGGGAAGAUAAUGACGGUACCAUAGGAGGAAGCCCCGGCUAACUACGUGCCAGCCGCCGC